RNAcentral lists this ribosomal RNA (783 nucleotides) under uncultured marine group I thaumarchaeote. RNAcentral describes it as "SSU rRNA". It matches the Rfam family "Archaeal small subunit ribosomal RNA", at positions 12 to 800 of the family's 1478-position model. Lineage: Archaea; Thermoproteati; Nitrososphaerota. The record is from RNAcentral.
UCCUGCCGGACCUGACUGCUAUCGGAUUGAUACUAAGCCAUGCGAGUCUUUGUAGUAAUACAAGGCAGACGGCUCAGUAACACGUAGUCAACCUACCCUAUGGACAAGAAUAAUCUCGGGAAACUGGGCAUAAUUCUUGAUAGAUCAUAAUGCCUGGAAUGGUUUAUGGUUAAAAUGAUUCGUCGCCAUAGGAUGGGACUGCGGCCUAUCAGCUUGUUGGUGAGGUAAUGGCCCACCAAGGCGAUUAUAGGUACGGGCUCUGAGAGGAGAAGCCCGGAGAUGGGUACUGAGACACGGACCCAGGCCCUAUGGGGCGCAGCAGGCGAGAAAACUUUGCAAUGUGCGAAAGCACGACAAGGUUAAUCCGAGUGAUUUCUGCUAAAGAAAUCUUUUGCCAGUCAUAAAACCACUGGUGAAUAAGGGGUGGGCAAGUUCUGGUGUCAGCCGCCGCGGUAAAACCAGCACCUCAAGUGGUCAGGAUGAUUAUUGGGCCUAAAGCAUCCGUAGCCGGCUUUGUAAGUUUUCGGUUAAAUCCAUGUGCUCAACGCAUGGGCUGCCGAAAAUACUGCAUGGCUAGGGAGUGGGAGAGGUAGACGGUACUCAGUAGGAAGGGGUAAAAUCCUUUGAUCUAUUGAUGACCACCUGUGGCGAAGGCGGUCUACCAGAACACGUUCGACGGUGAGGGAUGAAAGCUGGGGGAGCAAACCGGAUUAGAUACCCGGGUAGUCCCAGCUGUAAACGAUGCAGACUCGAUGAUGCAUUGGCAUAAUAGCCAGUGCAGUG